RNAcentral lists this ribosomal RNA (520 nucleotides) under uncultured Acaulospora. Its description in RNAcentral is "SSU rRNA". It matches the Rfam family "Eukaryotic small subunit ribosomal RNA", at positions 569 to 1080 of the family's 1831-position model. The record is from RNAcentral. Lineage: Eukaryota; Fungi; Glomeromycota; Glomeromycetes; Diversisporales; Acaulosporaceae.
AGCAGCCGCGGUAAUUCCAGCUCCAAUAGCGUAUAUUAAAGUUGUUGCAGUUAAAAAGCUCGUAGUUGAAUUUCGGGAUUCAUCCGUUGGUCGGGCUUCACGGUCCGUACUGGUGUGAUGGGUUCCUACCUUCUGAAUAAUCGGCAUGCCAUUAAUUUGGUGCGCCGGGGAAGCAGAACUAUUACCUUGAAAAAAUUAGAGUGCUUAAAGCAGGCAAGUGCCUGAAUAGGUUAGCAUGGAAUAAUAAAAUAGGACGGCAUGGUUCUAUUUUGUUGGUUUCUAGGAUCACCGUAAUGAUUAAUAGGGAUAGUUGGGGGCAUUAGUAUUCAAUUGUCAGAGGUGAAAUUCUUGGAUUUAUUGAAGACUAACUUCUGCGAAAGCAUUUGCCAAGGAUGUUUUCAUUAAUCAAGAACGAAAGUUAGGGGAUCGAAAGACGAUCAGACCCUACGUCGUAGUCUUAAACCAUAAACUAUGCCGAACUAGGGAAUCGGACGAUGUUUUAAAUUUUUAAUGACUCGUU